This 572-nucleotide ribosomal RNA is filed under the name Enterococcus hirae. RNAcentral's name for it is "partial 16S ribosomal RNA". It matches the Rfam family "Bacterial small subunit ribosomal RNA", at positions 1 to 544 of the family's 1533-position model. The record is from RNAcentral. Lineage: Bacteria; Bacillati; Bacillota; Bacilli; Lactobacillales; Enterococcaceae.
UUUUAUGAGAGUUUGAUCCUGGCUCAGGACGAACGCUGGCGGCGUGCCUAAUACAUGCAAGUCGAACGCUUCUUUUUCCACCGGAGCUUGCUCCACCGGAAAAAGAGGAGUGGCGAACGGGUGAGUAACACGUGGGUAACCUGCCCAUCAGAAGGGGGUAACACUUGGAAACAGGUGCUAAUACCGUAUAACAAUCGAAACCGCAUGGUUUUGAUUUGAAAGGCGCUUUCGGGUGUCGCUGAUGGAUGGACCCGCGGUGCAUUAGCUAGUUGGUGAGGUAACGGCUCACAAAGGCGACGAUGCAUAGCCGACCUGAGAGGGUGAUCGGCCACAUUGGGACUGAGACACGGCCCAAACUCCUACGGGAGGCAGCAGUAGGGAAUCUUCGGCAAUGGACGAAAGUCUGACCGAGCAACGCCGCGUGAGUGAAGAAGGUUUUCGGAUCGUAAAACUCUGUUGUUAGAGAAGAACAAGGAUGAGAGUAACUGUUCAUCCCUUGACGGUAUCUAACCAGAAAGCCACGGCUAACUACGUGCCAGCAGCCGCGGUAAUACGUAGGUGGCAAGCGUUGU